UAGAAGGAAUGCUUCAUUUUUGCUCCCAAGU
RNAcentral lists this non-coding RNA (31 nucleotides) under Mus musculus (house mouse). Lineage: Eukaryota; Metazoa; Chordata; Mammalia; Rodentia; Muridae. The record is from RNAcentral.